Long non-coding RNA from Triticum dicoccoides, 2937 nucleotides. RefSeq lists it as uncharacterized. Lineage: Eukaryota; Viridiplantae; Streptophyta; Magnoliopsida; Poales; Poaceae. The record is from RefSeq and is a predicted model, not a curated record. The transcript is spliced from 5 exons.
GUCGGACCUGUGGAUUGGAUCUCGCGGCAGGGCUGGUACGUCCUGACGGCCACCUCCCCGUCGGCAGCAACCCGGUGAGGCGCCUGCAGGGGGCAAAGGCUGGGCCUCGCAGGACGAGGGUAUCAAGAACUAAGGUACUUUGGCAUGGGAUGAGAAUCACGAUUGUUGUGGAGGAAAUGAAGAAUAUCUUGUUAUUUGGUUGAUACCAUCCAUGUUCUUUUAGGUUGAACAUUGCCAUAAUGGUUUCUCUCUACAACGAUUAUAUUAGAUCUAGCAUCAUGUCAUGGACAUCAUAAGCCUUUUCUGCCUUGAUAGUUGAUGUCUACAGUUUGAGUCAUGCUUCUGUUUAUGAGCCCAUUGAAAUGAGCCAAUUUCUUAUUUACAUGGUACACAAAUCCUUCGGCUAUCCAUCUCCAUAUGAACUAGUCUCUCUUAAUUUUGUAGUCUUGAUAUAUGCUUACAUAUAACGAAUGAUGUGAAGGAAGAUCGUAGAACAACAACAUAAUCUUUAGUCUUAAGCAAGUUAGGGUGGACUAGGGAUAGACCACAAUAGGAGCCAGACACACCAAUGAUAUGGAAAGUAGAAAAUAAAUAGUAAAAGAAGCUCUUGGCUUUUAGAUUAUGUUAAAGUGAUAAUACGGAGUCAAGACUCUUUUACUACUAGUUUUGAUCUACCUUGUCAUCUAUAGGAUUAGUUAUUAUCUAAUUUUUUUAGAAGAUUAAGCAAGGUCACUUGGUAUGUAAAUGGAUAGCCGAACGUGUUGUUUAUCAUGGAAAACAAGAGAUUAGCCUAUUUGAGCUCGGUGAUCAUAAAUAGAAGCAUGAUUCAACCAAUAGACAUCAAUUUGAUGGAGGCAUGGAAAAAUCUGAUCGUGUUCAUGAUAUGAUGAUUGAUCCCAUAUGUUUUUGCCAAGUCAAGAAAACCACUUACAUAGCACUGAGUGAAAGCGAUGUAUACAAAGGCAAGAUUUGAAUAUUAUCCUUCCGAAAGAACAUUUCAGACCAUCAGAAGCAGCAAUGCCACAAAUGAGGUAACUUGCAAUAUCUUAUCUACUAUUGUUGAUCUAGUGCUGCUUAUGUCGAGUACCUAUGUUGGAUCAAGAAUAAUGUCGUGUAUGUUAACGUUUCUCACCAUUUGAGACUGCUGAAAGUUGGAGAACACUGCAUUUGUCUUGGCGUUUCGAUUUGUCUUCCCUCUGCAAGGUCAUUGUACCCACUUACCUCUGAAUUCUGCAAAUUUUUGCAGCGGCUCUUGCGUUUUUCUCAUUAUGAAAAGAGUAUGUAAUAUGAUGUACUGCUGUCUGGUUAAUUUGCCUUGGCCUUUUGUAUCUUCUUUGAUAUCAAGUUCUCAUUGUGAUUGUACCCACUUAUGCCUAAAUUCCAUUAUCACUCCCGUGGAUUCGAGAAACAUGAAGUUUCAGCAGUGCCUCCUUUAUUAUAACUUAUGCUGAUUCAUGAACUUCAUUUUCCAUUUAUUUGUUUUGUAAAGCCGAAUAUGUGAACUUCCUUUUUCCAUUUAUUCAUUUUAUAAGGUAUAGUGUGUAAUUACGAUGCAUCGUUGCCUUGUUUGUCAGCUUUGAUUAUCCAUUGCGUCUAUUUCUUCCUAGUAGUUUUCCGAGUUGUUUUACUUCAGACUCGUGGAAUGAAAAUAUGGUCGUUUAGUUUAUACAAUCAUUUGAAAUUUUACCUUUUUAUCUAGCGGUUGUUGUUUGUUUUAUUUGUUCAAACUUGACUGAACAAAUGGAGGAGUGCAUUUAAAAUUAGAAGAACAAACCUCAACACAAGGAGUCUGAAAAACAACCAAUAUCUUGCUCAUUAAUAUAAUAUCAUAUUCGGGUAAAAAAAUACAUAGCCUCCUCUUCUCCAGAAUUAUAAUCCAGUGGCCAGCUGGAUUUUGAAUGCAGCAACUAAUUAAAAUGUAGAAAUCAUGCCGACAAGACCCCAUGUGGACUCAUCAUGCUUCAAGCUCAAGUGACCAGUUUCUCUGCUACAGGUACAUAAUGCCACAUGUGUCGCCAUGCAUAUUCUUGCCAUCCAAAGAUUACCAUGAGGGGCCAAAUUGCAUACCGAACUAUAUCAUAUCUUUUCUUCAUGACAACAACAUGGAGAAAAGUUCUCCCAUGGGUGUCACGUAAGCUGGCGCAACCCGGACACCUUAAAAGUAAGAUGAUGACAGAUGAAAGUCUCCCCGCUAAAGCAGCGACAUGUAUGGGGAAUGGCCCUUCUUCGUCCGGUUGAUAUGCUGAAUAUGCAUCUGCCUCCAAUAUUUGCAUGCUUUCUUUCGGACUCGAUGUUUAUUCCAGACUCAUAAACUGUGAUGUCAGAGUUCAGUUCGUACUAUGGUCUGAAGUUAAUCUUCCAUUUGUCACUGUGCCAUGAAGUAAAUAAUAUGCUGUAAUGCAGAGGAAGACCCGUUUAUUAGCAACUCAAUGGACAAGUUGCUGUUUCGACAGAAUUCUAAGUGAAGCUGAAGCUGAAAGCCUGAAGCCGAGCUCAACAUCAAACUCAGGCAAUCAUUCUGUCUAGUGCCUUUGGUACCUUGCCACGCUCUGGGUUACUAGUUCCUGGCGUUGUCAAAGUGCUGCGAGUUAGUUACUUUUGUCUACUCCUGAAAUCAAAAUUGUAACCAGGAAUUCAGAUUUAUCACCUCAUACACUUUAUCACGCCGAGAGGAGUUUUUUUCCGGCACAUCAAGCUCGAUCAGGUGCAUGCUCCAUGCGAUUGUAAAUGCCUUCUGUCGCCCCUGGAAUGCGAUCAUUUGGUCCAGGAUGCGGCUUCGCGUUUUCCGAGCCAACGGGAUAUAAAUCUACAUCGUAGUUAUAGGGCUGGCUGGGCCUUGAUAUCAAUGCAUUGCUUUUUUCCUAGCCUUUACAGACUCUUUCUUAUUUGAGGAGACCCGUCAACAUUCAGUUUGUGAGAUCUUCUGAAUUUUCUUCA